This is a long non-coding RNA of Cyprinus carpio (common carp), 719 nucleotides long. Lineage: Eukaryota; Metazoa; Chordata; Actinopteri; Cypriniformes; Cyprinidae. The record is from Ensembl.
AGUCCUUCCUUCAAGAGCUUAAAAGCUCACUGGGGGGGACAUACAUGAGGAUGAAACGGCACUUUAAGCCUCAACAGACUGGUCGACCCGAAGGGCUUCAUAUCAGGGUGGUGGGAGAAAGAGAGACCCCGACUGAUCAACACCAUGGUGGCUCGACAACAUUGUGGAAAUAGUCCAGCCGUUAUCUGUUGUUGUGACUGCCGAUCACACCCAUUCAUACUGUAUGUGGCCAGUGUGAUGUCAGGGUCCACCGAGGUCAAGUGUUCUACAACAGGGAUUCGAUGACAUAUGCAUUUUUUCAUCCAUUGCCUCCCACAACUUGUGUUGUGGAGAGGGUUCUAACCCAGUGUGAGCGUCUUGUACCUUUGGAGAUGGCAGAGACAAUAUGCGGUUGUCUACGAGUAUUGUCCAGUGUCAUCGCAGGACAGUCCAUAGUUGUGGUUACAAUGAAUGGGCGAUAUGAUCUCAGAUUGCCUCAGAUUAGAUGCAAAGCAUGUGAAGCCACUUGGAUUCCUGCAGUGGAUGACCUGAUCCAUAAUGACUACUGGCCUGCCACUUCUCACUAUUCAACUGUGUACGCAACAGAUGUCCUUUUUUCUUUUGAAGAGAUGAAGGUGACUGCACCAGGGAUGUCUAGCCAAGCAUUUCUUAGAAUGCUGGAUCAACGCACUGUUCGCGUUGGCCGUGUAAGUAUUCGUGGUAAUAAUGAGUAUGAGUGA